Unclassified non-coding RNA from Callithrix jacchus (white-tufted-ear marmoset), 280 nucleotides. It matches the Rfam family "Metazoan signal recognition particle RNA". From Rfam's summary of the family: The signal recognition particle (SRP) is a universally conserved ribonucleoprotein. It is involved in the co-translational targeting of proteins to membranes. The record is from Ensembl. Lineage: Eukaryota; Metazoa; Chordata; Mammalia; Primates; Cebidae.
GCCUACAGUGGUGCAUGCCUGCAGACCCAGCUACUCGGGAGGCUGAGGUGGGAGGAUCGCUUGAGCCUAGGAGUUCUGGGCUGUAGUGGGCUAUGCUGAUCGGGUGUCCGCACUAAGUUCGGCAUCAAUAUGGUGACAUCCUGGGAGUGGGGGACCACCAGGUUGCCUAAGGAGGGGUGAAGUGGCCCAGGUUAAAACUCUUAUGCUGAUCAGUAGUGGGAUUAUGCCUGUGAAUAGCCACUGGACUCCAGCUUGGAAACAUAGUGAGACCCCAUCUCUU